CCUACGGGAGGCUGCAGUUAGGAAUAUUGGUCAAUGGCCGUAAGGCUGAACCAGCCAAGUCGCGUGAGGGAUGACUGCCCUAUGGGUUGUAAACCUCUUUUAUCGGGGGAUAAAGGUGUUCACGUGUGGAUGUUUGCAGGUACCGCAUGAAUAAGCACCGGCUAAAUCCGUGCCAGCAGCCGCGGUAAUACGGGAGGUGCGGGCGUUAUCCGGAUUUAUUGGGUUUAAAGGGUGCGUAGGCCGAGCGUCAAGUGUGCGGUGAAAUUUGGGGGCUCAACCCUGGGCUGGCGGUGGAAACUGGAGACCUUGAGUGCGCGGAAGGUAGGCGGAAUUCGUGGUGUAGCGGUGAAAUGCAUAGAUAUCACGAAGAACCCCGAUUGCGAAGGCAGCCUGCCGCAGCGUUACUGACGCUGAAGCACGAAAGCGCGGGUAUCGAACAGGAUUAGAUACCCGAGUAGUC
RNAcentral lists this ribosomal RNA (460 nucleotides) under uncultured bacterium. Its description in RNAcentral is "partial 16S ribosomal RNA". It matches the Rfam family "Bacterial small subunit ribosomal RNA", at positions 338 to 795 of the family's 1533-position model. The record is from RNAcentral.